RNAcentral lists this non-coding RNA (777 nucleotides) under Stomaphis sinisalicis. Lineage: Eukaryota; Metazoa; Arthropoda; Insecta; Hemiptera; Aphididae. The record is from RNAcentral.
UUAAUUUAUAAUUACACAAUAAUUUAUUUUAUUAUUAAAUUUUAUUAAAUUAAAAAGAUAUAUGAAUUUUAAAGAAAGUUAAUAGGUUCUUAAUGAAUAAAAAUUUAGUUCUCAGUAUUAAAUAUUAAAAAUUAAGGAAAUUUAGAUUUGAUUAUUAAUUUAAAUAUAGACUAAAUAUGUGCCAGCAGUUGCGGUUAAACAUAAUAUAUAAAUAAAAUAGUUCGGUAAAUAGUAUAAAAAUAAAUUAAAUAAAUUAAUUUAUUAUUUAAGGUAAAAUUUUUUUAAUAAUUAAGUUUAUAAUUAUUUUAUUCUAAAAAAUUUUAGUUAAAACUAGGAUUAGAUACCCUAUUAUAAAAAUAUAAUUUAAAUUUACUAAAAAAUUAUUAGUUAAGUUCUUUAAAUUUAAAAAAUUUGGCGGUAUUUUAGUCUUAUUAGAGGAACCUGUUAAAUAAUUGAUAAUCCACGAUUAAUUUUACUUAAUUGAAUAAAUUUAUAUAUCGCUGUCAAGAAUAUAUUUAAAAAUUUAAUUUCUUUAAUUAAUUUUAUAAUUUAUGUUAAGUCAAGAUGUAGUUUAUAAAUAAGUUUUUAAAUGGGUUACAAUAAAUUAAAUUUAUGGAUUUGAAAUGAAAAUUAAAAUAAAAUUGGAUUUAAAAGUAAAUUUAUUUAUUUAAAUAAAAUGAAUAGAGAUCUAAAAUAUGUACAUAUUGCCCGUCAUUCUUAUUAAAAAUAAGACAAGUCGUAACAAAGUAAAUGUACUGGAAAGUGUAUUUAGAAAGA